RNAcentral lists this ribosomal RNA (509 nucleotides) under uncultured bacterium. RNAcentral describes it as "bacterial SSU rRNA". It matches the Rfam family "Bacterial small subunit ribosomal RNA", at positions 29 to 529 of the family's 1533-position model. The record is from RNAcentral.
AUUGAACGCUGGCGGCAUGCCUUACACAUGCAAGUCGAACGGUAACAGGUCUUCGGAUGCUGACGAGUGGCGAACGGGUGAGUAAUACAUCGGAACGUGCCCGAGAGUGGGGGAUAACGCAGCGAAAGCUGUGCUAAUACCGCAUACGAUCUACGGAUGAAAGCAGGGGAUUCGCAAGGACCUUGCGCUCAUGGAGCGGCCGAUGGCAGAUUAGGUAGUUGGUGGGAUAAAAGCUUACCAAGCCGACGAUCUGUAGCUGGUCUGAGAGGACGACCAGCCACACUGGGACUGAGACACGGCCCAGACUCCUACGGGAGGCAGCAGUGGGGAAUUUUGGACAAUGGGGAAACCCUGAUCCAGCCAUGCCGCGUGCAGGAUGACGGCCCUACGGGUUGUAAACUGCUUUUCCCCGGGGCGAACUAACCCCUCGCGAGGGGGAGUGGCCGGUACCGGGGGAAGUAAGGAAGUCGGCGUAACGUACCGUCGCCAGCACGCCGCGGUAAGUCUGU